UAGUGGCGAACGGGUGAGUAACACGUGAGUAACCUGCCCUUGACUCUGGGAUAACCUCCGGAAACGGAAGCUAAUACCGGAUACGACCCGCGGAGGCAUCUCCAGCGGGUGGAAAGAACUUCGGUCAAGGAUGGACUCGCGGCCUAUCAGGUAGUUGGUGAGGUAACGGCUCACCAAGCCUACGACGGGUAGCCGGCCUGAGAGGGUGACCGGCCACACUGGGACUGAGACACGGCCCAGACUCCUACGGGAGGCAGCAGUGGGGAAUAUUGCACAAUGGGCGCAAGCCUGAUGCAGCAACGCCGCGUGAGGGACGACGGCCUUCGGGUUGUAAACCUCUUUUAGUAGGGAAGAAGCGAAAGUGACGGUACCUGCAGAAAAAGCACCGGCUAACUACGUGCCAGCAGCCGCGGUAAUACGUAGGGUGCGAGCGUUGUCCGGAAUUAUUGGGCGUAAAGAGCUCGUAGGCGGUCUGUCGCGUCUGCUGUGAAAACCCGAGGCUCAACCUCGGGCCUGCAGUGGGUACGGGCAGACUAGAGUGCGGUAGGGGAGAAUGGAAUUCCUGGUGUAGCGGUGGAAUGCGCAGAUAUCAGGAGGAACACCGAUGGCGAAGGCAGUUCUCUGGGCCGUAACUGACGCUG
RNAcentral lists this ribosomal RNA (641 nucleotides) under Leifsonia sp. I13A-01707. Its description in RNAcentral is "bacterial SSU rRNA". It matches the Rfam family "Bacterial small subunit ribosomal RNA", at positions 93 to 748 of the family's 1533-position model. The record is from RNAcentral. Lineage: Bacteria; Bacillati; Actinomycetota; Actinomycetes; Micrococcales; Microbacteriaceae.